UACGGAGGGUGCAAGCGUUGUUCGGAAUUACUGGGCGUAAAGCGCGGGCAGGUGGUCUUUUAAGUCCUUUGUGAAAUCCCGGGGCUCAACUCCGGAUGUGCAUAGGAUACUGGAAGACUGGAGACUGGUAGAGGCGAGCGGAAUUCCUGGUGUAGCGGUGAAAUGCGCAGAUAUCAGGAGGAACACCGGUGGCGAAGGCGGGUCUCUGGGCCGUUCCUGACGCUGAGACGCGAAAGCUAGGGGAGCGAACAGG
Molecule: ribosomal RNA, 253 nt
Filed under: uncultured bacterium
Lineage: Bacteria
Description: partial 16S ribosomal RNA
Rfam family: Bacterial small subunit ribosomal RNA
Source: RNAcentral